This 363-nucleotide long non-coding RNA is filed under the name Panax ginseng (ginseng). Its description in RNAcentral is "long non-coding RNA (PGIN_LNC012116)". The record is from RNAcentral. Lineage: Eukaryota; Viridiplantae; Streptophyta; Magnoliopsida; Apiales; Araliaceae.
AUGAUGAUAACAAGAACUUGCAGCAGCUGCUUGACGCAUUUGGUUCUGUGGUUUCCCUUGAGGACAUAGCAUCUGCUUACUGUCAAGCAGGUCGUGACGUUUAUACAGCUGGUGAAUUACUUUGUAAUCAUCAGGGAAGCACCUCCUGCAUUUCUUCUUCUGCAUCCAAGGAUGAAUUCGAAGGUGCAGGUUCUUCUGACAAUCUUCAGGGAAGCACCUCCUGCAUUUCUUCUUCUGCAUCCAAGGAUGAAUUCGAGGGUGCAGGUUCUUCUGACAAUCUCUUGGGGAGAUCAGAUGUGGAGAGAAAUUCCAUAGCACCAAAGCAAAGAAAGUAUUCAGUAUCAAUGGGCACUGUUUCAGGUG